Hyla sarda is the source of this 1081-nucleotide long non-coding RNA. RefSeq lists it as uncharacterized. NCBI's taxonomy places the organism in Eukaryota, Metazoa, Chordata, Amphibia, Anura, Hylidae. The record is from RefSeq and is a predicted model, not a curated record. The transcript is spliced from 3 exons.
GGUCCCCUUUAAAGACAAAGAAGUGAAUCACAUGAACCAUUAAAGGGCUCAUGGCCACCCAAGGCUUAUUGAUGCAUGUGCUUAGCGCGAUGAUGGGUACGAGGCCAGAAGAAGCGCAACUAGCGUAAAACUUCGCCGGCGGCCGCCUCACUUCUGAGGGCCCUGAUACCUGUCUGAUACCAGGGUUGUCCGUCUUUGCCAAAAGAGUGGAGCCACAGCAGCCCUGCACCUAUACUUCUGAUCAGAUGUUCUCUGGGUACUCGUGCAUGCUGCCAGAUGUCCUCUAUAUGUUCUGUUCUCAUAUGCUUGUAUUUGAGCACAGCAUGUUGGUGAGGUAUCUCCUGUCUAUGUGUCACCCGCUCACUCAACCUGGACUGUUUGUUUGCCCGCUGUGUCGCAAGUUGCGGCUGUUUAGUUUUGUUGUUUGUUUGGGGUGUGUGUGUUAAGUGUCCUUUCUUCCACUCAUUGUGCAGUGCUCUGUCAUUUAUGUUUCUUCCCGAUUUAGACUACUGGCGGCUACUGCGCCCACCCCCUUGUAUUAUCAUUUAUGUUUCUUUAGUGUCCUUAUGGCUACUGAUUUACAUGUGGUGUGGAAUGUAAGGGGCCUCAAUGAUCCCACCAAGCAUCUUGCUGUUUUAUAGGCGCUCAAACCUUAUCAGUCUGCUGCAUUGUGCCUCUCUGAGACACACUUGACGAGUGACACUAAACCAUGGUUUGGUCAUACCUUCCACGCUACUUUUUCCUCUCAUGCCCGGGGUGUAAGUGUGCUCAUUCAUAAAAGCAUUUUAUUUUCAUGCACUUCUAGUCUCAUGGACCCGGAGGGUAGGUUUGUUUGUCUUUAUGGCACUUUAAACCGUCCCUAGUGUGGGCUGGUUGCACUCUAUAUUCCCAACAUCCCGAACAGCUUGCAGGACAGCAGGAGGGUCCCUACCUGCCUCCUCGCUGUCCGAUCCCUGAAUGACUGCUGAAUGACUGCUCAGUGCCUGAGAUCCAGGCAUGAGCAGUCAAGCGGUAGAAUCAUCGAUCACUGGUUUCCUAUGAGAAACCAGUGAUCAAUGUGAAAGAUCAGUGUGUGCAGUGU